This 253-nucleotide ribosomal RNA is filed under the name uncultured microorganism. RNAcentral's name for it is "partial 16S ribosomal RNA". It matches the Rfam family "Bacterial small subunit ribosomal RNA", at positions 524 to 776 of the family's 1533-position model. The record is from RNAcentral.
UACGUAGGGUGCGAGCGUUAAUCGGAUUUACUGGGCGUAAAGGGGGCGUAGGCGGCCGUGAAAGUCCGGUGUGAAAACUCACGGCUCAACCGUGGGACUGCGCUGGAAACUACACGGCUUGAGGACGGUAGAGGGAGACGGAACUGCUGGUGUAGGGGUGAAAUCCGUAGAUAUCAGCAGGAACGCCGGUGGAGAAGUCGGUCUCCUGGGCCGUUCCUGACGCUGAGGCCCGAAAGCUAGGGGAGCGAACCGG